Molecule: ribosomal RNA, 373 nt
Filed under: uncultured organism
Description: bacterial SSU rRNA
Rfam family: Bacterial small subunit ribosomal RNA
Source: RNAcentral
CGUAGGGUCCAAGCGUUAUCCGGAAUCACUGGGCGUAAAGCGUGCGUAGGCGGAUGUUUAAGUGAUAUGCGAAAUCUUAUGGCUCAACCAUAUAGACUGUAUAUCAUACUGGGCAUCUAGAGGAUGGCAGAGGCAAGUGGAAUUACUGGUGUAGCAGUGAAAUGCGUAGAGAUCAGUAGGAACACCAAUGGCGAAGGCAGCUUGCUGGGCCACACCUGACGCUGAGGUACGAAAGCGUGGGGAGCGAACAGGAUUAGAUACCCUGGUAGUCCACGCCGUAAACGAUGGAUACUAUUAGUAUGGAGUAUCGACCCUCUGUGCUGAGAAGCUAACGCGUUAAGUAUCCCGCCUGGGGAGUACGAUCGCAAGAUUA